This 171-nucleotide ribosomal RNA is filed under the name Synechococcus sp. KORDI-50. RNAcentral describes it as "partial 23S ribosomal RNA". It matches the Rfam family "Bacterial large subunit ribosomal RNA", at positions 1 to 185 of the family's 2925-position model. Lineage: Bacteria; Bacillati; Cyanobacteriota; Cyanophyceae; Synechococcales; Synechococcaceae. The record is from RNAcentral.
GGUCAAGCUACAAAGAGCUCACGGCGGAUACCUUGGCACACAGAGGCGAUGAAGGACGUGGUUACCUGCGAUAAGUCUCGGGGAGCUGGAAACACGCUUUGAUCCGGGAAUUUCCGAAUGGGGCAACCCCUAGAACGGCCAGCUGAAUCCAUAGGCUGGCGCGAGCCAACC